GAUCAUGGCUCAGGAUGAACGCUAGCUACAGGCUUAACACAUGCAAGUCGAGGGGAAACGAUAUUGGAAGCUUGCUUCCGAUAGGCGUCGACCGGCGCACGGGUGAGUAACGCGUAUCAAACCUGCCCAUCACUUGGGGAUAACCUUGCGAAAGUAAGACUAAUACCCAAUGAUAUCUCUAGAAGACAUCUGAAAGAGAUUAAAGAUUUAUCGGUGAUGGAUGGGGAUGCGUCUGAUUAGCUUGUUGGCGGGGUAACGGCCCACCAAGGCGACGAUCAGUAGGGUUCUGAGAGGAAGGUCCCCACAUUGGAACUGAGACACGGUCCAAACUCCUACGGGAGGCAGCAGUGAGGAAUAUUGGUCAAUGGGCGAGAGCCUGAACCAGCCAAGUAGCGUGCAGGAUGACGGCCUAUGGGUUGUAAACUGCUUUUAUAAGGGAAUAAAGUGAGUCUCGUGAGACUUUUGCAUGUACCUUAUGAAUAAGGACCGGCUAAUUCCGUG
This 501-nucleotide ribosomal RNA is filed under the name uncultured bacterium. RNAcentral's name for it is "bacterial SSU rRNA". It matches the Rfam family "Bacterial small subunit ribosomal RNA", at positions 15 to 507 of the family's 1533-position model. The record is from RNAcentral.